This is an RNA transcript of Triticum aestivum (bread wheat), 3407 nucleotides long. RefSeq lists it as uncharacterized. The record is from RefSeq and is a predicted model, not a curated record. The transcript has 11 exons. NCBI's taxonomy places the organism in Eukaryota, Viridiplantae, Streptophyta, Magnoliopsida, Poales, Poaceae.
CACGGACUUCCCCGCGCGUCCUAAAAUACCAGAGAGCCACCGCCGCCUCUUCGAUUCCCCAAUCCCCACUUCCCCGUCUCCUCCACGGACCCCCCAAAAAUCCCAAAUUGCCGGCGGAACCCUAGCUAGCUCUGGUGCUACUGCCACCUCCUCCGGCGGAAUCGGCGGCGGCUCCUUCCCGGCGCCACACCUCGGAGGUUGCGCUGCUCGGCGCGUCCCCGUCGCGUCCUUCCUCCGGCUACACCUUCAGGAUUUCGCGCCGCUCUCGUCCGAGGGCUUUGAACCGUCCUCUUACCUCUGUGCACAUGUGUUAUCCGUUCAUGUGCAAAGCAGGACGAUUACACCAUCAAUGGGUGUCGGACAUGAAAUCUUCCACCCUCCUUUGCCAGUGUUGUGUCAUGCUCGAGCACGCCAUCAACUUGUGCCGGACACGGACUCCACAUGAACUCCGUCCUUUGCCACAUAAUAGGCAUCGAGUGCUCUACGGAAGCAUCCAAUCUCGCUGUUCUACCAACUUCACCGGAACACCGACCGCCGGUGCUCCACCUGAGGUUGUUUUCAACUGGAGACAAAUCAGUGUUAUUGUCAUGCAUGGAAGAAGAGCUCGACCUUAUUGCAAACAUGUUUUAUUGCAGACCAUGCUGUAGAGUCGCACAAACCGCUAGUGCUGUAUUUGCUUUGUGACAUUUUCAGAUCCGCAGAUAGAUCCGCUGAUGGAUUUAAGUUUUCAUUCACCAACUACUCAAUUCCUCGGAGAUGAGGAUCGUUCUGUAGCUCAUGCGGAUCCAUCAGCAUGGAGAAGUUCGAUGAUUUUAAGGUAUGAGGUUGGUGACUGGGUUACAGUCAAAGCAACAUUCCCGUCCCCAAAAUAGCCAUGAUACAGCCGAUGAAGUUAGGAUAGUUGCGAUUCAGGUUUGUGUGGAAAGUAAGCUGGUUUGCUCUACCCGCCAUGACUCAUUUAUUCUGUGCAUUGUGACAUUUUCCUGGGCCUUCUGUUUGCAGUGUGGCACAUACAAAGAGAAGAUUAAGAGACUAAUUUCUUAAUGAUUUUGAUUGUGCAGCAUAAAAUAGUUACAUGGUUAUGUUGAAAAUAGCCAUGUUUUGCAGAAGAUAAACACAAGGACCCACUUUCCUAUUUUUUUUCUAUGUCAUGUGCUUUUCCUGCUGCAGGGACUUUUGUAGGGAAAUUCACCAUGGAAAUUUAAAUAAUGGUUCCCUGCCCAUCAGUUUACUUUCUUGAAUUUAUUCUUCAUGCUACAGGCCACACUUUUCCUAUUUUGUUAAAGAAGUGAACUCAUUCCUAAACUUCCACCAUAUGUACAUUAACACUGGGAUACUGUGCCAACCCAGCAAUACUCUGAUCCUUCUUUGUACCACUGAUGCUUCUUUGUACCACGUUCAUAUAUAUGCCUUGAACAUAUACUGUUGUUUUGACAUCUGAUUGUACCUUUCUAUGUGAAAAUGAGAAGUGCUAGGUGUACAGAAACCUGCACUCAUAUUUCUUACAUGCAUGAUCUAUUAUGUAUGAUCCUUUUUAUAUUGCUUACACGCGUGAUUUAUCUGAUUGCCAGUAGAACUAUUUGUGUUGGCAUGUCAGUUUUGUAACUUAAUACCUUCCAUCUUAUUCAUUGAUAAUGCUUUGAAGACACCGACAAUAAUAAUUAAAUUAAAUUGUGCCUGAACAUGUCAAUUGCAAUGACAGGUUCUCACCUAUUAUCUCAUUUUAAAUCAAAAUUGUGGAUGCCCAGUAGGUGGUUGGCUGAUGGAGAGUGUUGCACUGCUGCUUAUUUAAUGGUCAGUAGUGCAGCUCCUGAUCAAGCCAAUUUUCGUUUACCUUCAGUUUCUUUUGAUUUAUUUGCGUUUUCGUAGUGAAAAUAUGAAGACACAUUUUCUAAAUUACUUUAGGAUAUGUUCAGAAGAAUAUGCUAGAUUUGGUCCGAUUAUAUUUUCUCAAUUCCUAUGUCAUCUCUCACAUGGCUAUGUGCUCUCUCUAAUUCAGCUCUCAAUUCCUAUGUCAUUUCUCAGUUCUGGGUGUUUUCCGUAUGGAUAUCUAAUUCAGCUUUAUCUUAUUCUCUGAAGUUUAAUGUUGAUUCCAUAGUUAUCUUUCCUUGUGAAGGAAAACAGCAGGAAGGAAAUAGAGCGGGUUGUGUGUCAUCGUGCACGCAGUCUGCCUUCCAUUGGCAUGCGAGUACUUGCACUUGGAUCGCCCAAUUGUGUGUGCACAGCAGGGGACCAUGCGCUGGAACAUCGGAUUCAACCUACUCACAAGUUGAAGAGAAGGUUACGUAUGCUUUUUAAUUUUUGAACAAUCAGUACUGCACCAGCGGUAAUCUACAGGGAAGGCAAGGAUAUCUAGAUUAAACAUUUCACAAGAUCCUCCCAAUUAUAGGCACAAUCUCCUUUUCAAGAUAUUACGAGUGGUUGACUACCGGAGAUUAUCAGAUGGAAAGAUGGUUGUAUGAUCUUCGAGGCUGCUGCUUCUUUGUUAUGUCGAUCGAGGCUGUAUGAUCUCUGCAGGUUGCUGCUUGUUUGUUCUGCCAGUGGAGGUCACCGCAACAUAGCUUGCAAUCUAGGUUGUUGCCAAGUUAACUUGGGAUUGGUAACCUACAAUGUAUCAUGUGAAGGUGGGAUUACAUUCUAUACUCUUGAAGCUAUGUAGAAUUUUGUAUGUACAUUGUUCACUUCAGCAAAAUAGAGAUCCCCUAACUAGCAGAUCAAUGUUGGCUAUGAUCGCACUUUUCUACAUUGUCAUAUUCGUAGAUAUACCGUGUGAUGGAGUAUCAACUAGCUACCUUUGGUCGCACUUAGUAUAAAAGUCUCAUAUAUUGCCGUGUAUGUACGUUCUGCAUCGUACAACAACAUACCAAUAGUGUUUAUAUCUAAAUUGAUUGUUUGCUGAACAAUUUCUCUAAUGUAUAUCUGUGAAAUUACUAAUAUAUGGAUUUUCGUUGCGGUAAAAAACUCCGAGAUCCAAUCGCAGGCAUGAUCGACCAAGCCAACAAAAUUAUUGCCAUAGUCGCAUGGAUUUGUUUCCAUAGGUAUAAAUCCCUAUGUGGAAAGAGACACAAAGUAACACAUAUCAUUCCUAAAAAAGACAUCAAUCAAGUACAAAUCGCCUGAAAACGAGGGGAGAUGGCAAAUCCAAACGAAUACGAGCCAUAUCCGUGCAUCAAAGCAAUUUGAGGCAAUAAGAAAGGGGCAGAAAUCUCACCAGCUUUAGAGUAACACGAACAAUAGGGGUUCGUCUUGCAGGCCUAGGAAAACCUUUCGUGCGCCGGACACCGAGCAGUCCAGGACAGUAAACCUUAAAUACUUUGUAGAUACUAUUAGACAUGCACAUAUUUUUUAGCUAAUUAAUAAAGGAGUAAAGAUAAUACAUGCUUAUGCCUAAGUGGUUGCUAAAACCU